AUGUCAUUCCAUGAAACCUUUCUUGAUCUCCCUAAUGGACUGCCAUCUUUCCUUCCUCUCCCCAUCAGGGCUUUGAAAUCUGAAUCUAUAAGCCCAAGCAAUUUGGCUGAGUUCAGAUUACAUCAACAGACUUUGGUUGGGAUUGGCCUAAACAAUGAAGUUACUGGGCAUUAUCUUGUCAUUUGUGGGGUCUCAAAUAUUGAGUUUGACUGAAUUAUUCAAUUUUGGCAUUGUCUAGUCACAGCUGGAUGGGUGCUGGCAAGAACUGAGAGGUUGGAGAUUGGACUGUGUGUGAAUUGGGCAGAUGGGGGCCUUAGUUGUAUGAGAGGACCAAGUGUAUUUAGUCUUUGUGCCAUAUUGGAGUUUCCAGGCUGAAUGAAUGUGCUUGGUGGAAGCCACAGGUACUCCUGGAUAUGUUGCAGAUCCAUCACCUGGUGGCUUCACUGUCCCAUUGACAGGCUGUCAUCUGGAAGAAGGAUAUAUUCUUGUUCUCUUGGGCUACAGAAGGUAGAAAUAGAAGGAAUGGGAAUAAGCUGUAAAUGGGCAAAUUUAGAUUAAAUGUAUGAAAAUAACAAUAACCACCUCUUCAAUAAUCAACUCACUAUCCAAGAAUGGAAAGUGCUGAUUUGGAAAAUACUGAGGCUUCUUCCAACUCUGCUAGUGUCUGACUCUGAUUCUACAUUCACUCAUUUUCUGUUGCAUAUUUUUACCUUUUUCUGUCAAAUAUUUUGGGCUCAUUGAUUUACUUCUUUCCCCUCUCCAUUAUGCCAUUUCCAAGGCCAAAUCCCAAUUUUGAAAACAAGGAUGAAUACAAGUGGUUUAUGAUGAUUAGGGUUUUUGUUAUCUCAUGUUUUGGUCCUCUGUCAUUCAUAGCCCAGGUGGCCAUUAGUGAAGCACAAUUACAGCCUCUCAGAUUUGGAAAAAACAAAUUAAAGAGAGUCAGUUAAGGAAGUCUCUGUCUCCCAUUUCUGAGUCAGGUGAAUAGCCCAGCAUGAAGUUAGCUGGAAGUGGUUCACUAGAUGUGAAUAUUUGCAAGCAUAUUAAAGUAAUUUCUAUAGAGAAGCUCAUAACUAACCCGGCUGUUGAUGAAAUUUUAGUUUCAGAAUUUAUUGGGCAGUUUGAGUAGCUAAGUGGCUUAGAAGAAAAAGCACCUGAUCUUGAGUCAGGAAGACCUGAGUUCAAAUCUGGCCUCAGACACUAGGUUUAUAACCUGGGCAAGUUCUUCACCUUUAUUUGUCUUAAUCCAUUGGAAAAGGAAAUGGUAAGUCAUUUCACUAUCUCUGCCAAAAAACCAAAACAGUCACCAAAAUUCAGACAAAAAUGAAAAAUGACUGAACUUGGUCCCCUGUCUUUUGCUGUUUAUACCUGAGUUAAAAAACCUUUUAUUGAAUCUCACCCUCUCUAGAUAUCUGUCUGGCCUGUUUCAGAGGAGGCCUUUUUAUACUACAUUUUUGGCCCUUCUUGAAAUAGUUCUGAUCAUUCAAUUUUCAUCAGUGACCAAUACUUUUCCUUAGUUGCCCAGUAUAGUGAUUAGAACUGAGAGGGAGGAUCCAAGCAUUUCAAUGAUAUCCCAUAUGUGAGAGCUGUUUUAGACAAGGGUAUUUUAAAGUGUGAGCACCAUAUGUCUUGUUUUACAGGAUGAACAUGGGAAUGUUUAUUAUAUGAUUAUAUAUAUAUAUAACCUAUAUUAUAUUACCUGGCUUCUUGGGGAGGUGGGAAGGGUGGAGGGAGAGAGAGAAAAUGGAUUACAAAAUGUCUGAAAAUGAUUAUUAAAAACUAUAUCGAGAUAUAAUCUGGAAAAUAUUUUCCUUUUUUAAAAAGAAGUGGUUAAAUGGCUCACUGUUCAGAGUAUUGGUCCUAGAGUCAGGAAGAACUGAGUUCAAAUCUGGCCUCAGACAUUUUCUAACUAUGUAACCCUGGGCAAGCCAUUUAACCUCUGUUUGCCUUGAUCCGUUGGAGAAGGAAAUGGCAAACCACUCCAGUAUCUUUGUUAAGAAAAUCCCAUGGACAGCAUUGAUGUGUUAUAGUUAGUCCUCAGGGCCAUGAAGAAUCAGACAGAGCUGAACAACAACAAAGCUAGCAUGUUAAUAUGGUAUUUGAUAAUUAAUAAACACUUCCUGAUAAACCUAAAUUAAUAAACC
Molecule: transfer RNA, 2141 nt
Filed under: Monodelphis domestica (gray short-tailed opossum)
Lineage: Eukaryota; Metazoa; Chordata; Mammalia; Didelphimorphia; Didelphidae
Description: lncRNA (ENSMODG00000042447.1)
Source: RNAcentral